Peromyscus maniculatus bairdii (prairie deer mouse) is the source of this 1278-nucleotide non-coding RNA. The record is from RefSeq and is a predicted model, not a curated record. Lineage: Eukaryota; Metazoa; Chordata; Mammalia; Rodentia; Cricetidae.
UUGAAGGGAUAGCCAGCCCAUCAUGGGGGUGUGGGGGGGAGGGGCUGAGGUGGUGAGGGAGAGGGGAGGUCACGGCAGCAGAAAGAGCUUGAGGCAGUAAGUCACGUGGCAUCCGUAGACAGGAAGAAACGAAAUGCCUGUGCUCCGUUCACUUUCUCCUUAUUUGAUCUGAGGCUUCAGCCCCUGGAAUAGUGCCACCCUUAUUUAGAGCGGAUUUUUCCAUCUCAGUUACCCCAAUCUAGACGUUCCCUUACAGACAUAACUCAGGGGAUCCCAGAUCCUGGGAAGCUGAUCGCCAAUGUUAGCCAUCACUCACCAGCUAGAGAUAUACCAAACACUGCUCAGAACUGGGGGCCUUGAGGAUGAAGGGGAAGGGAGGCGAGCAGGGGCUGAACUGACGCAGAAUGGCUGACAGCUCAAUAGGGCUGGUAGGAAGUCAGCCCUAGGUCCCUUUUUAUAUUCUAGACUGCUGGGAGGUGGCCCCCGUUACCCUCACAGAGCACAGCAGGAGCCUGACUGCUCUUUCAAGAUGACAAAAGAGUCCCUGAACUGGAGGAAACCAGAUUGGAGCAGUGUGACUCAAGGGACACAUAUGUCACGAACAUUUUGAACUAAAAAUGGCUGGGUGAGCCUGGCACAAAGCUGAUUUGUACUUGGAUCUCAUGAGUCAAGUGUGGAUGAAGCUCCGAUCUCUUCCCUUCCACGCCGGGUUAUCUGAGGACGCUCCUUUUUUUCCCACAGAUAUCUUCUGUUAGGACCUGCUCGUGACCACCAGCAGGACAAGUGAGAAGAGAAGUAACCCAGUGAAUAGAAACCUCAUUCCUGACUGAUGGCCGUCACCCAGCCGAGCCCAUGUCCAGCCCGGGUUCCAACCAUUGUGAGCCCAUGUUUCUAGGUAACAGCCCUGCCCUGGCUGGCUGAGUCCCCAAAGGGUUCCGAUAAACUUGCCGUGAAGGCAAAGCCAGACAACGACCCAGAAUCAGGUUCACGGAUGUUCCUCUCCGCUGCUUCGCAUGUGAUGAAGAAAAGGGAAAGCAUCUCUGCAUCAUUUCUCUCAAGCUUCAUGGCUGAGCCACUUCUAACAAAAGCCAAACGAAUGGAAUGGAUGAUUCUGGGUACUGAUAUGGUGAAGAGCAGCAUGUCUAAGCACGAAUCAACUUCUUACAAGAGUCUGUAUGGGACGUGUGUCCUUACGAAGGAGUUUAGUCCUAUAGUGUCAUUAUAUUAGCAUGCAUAAUGGUAAGAAUGUUAUUUACUCAUUUAUAUUCAUAAAUAAAU